AAGAGUAUAAAAUAGGAGGAGCUUGUUUACACAAAGCAUACUUUUCUCGGCCUUUUGGCUAAGAUCAAGUGUAGUAUCUGUUCUUAUCAGUUUAAUAUCUGAUAUGUGGACCAAUGGUUCACACGAUAUUAAAUUAAUUUUUUAAAGGGGUGAGUCCGCUACAAUAGCUUGCUAUUGGGUCUCACACGUGUCAUCUUUGUGCUGCACUACUUCAAAGUUUGGCGCACCCUACCAAUCCAUUUAAAAAUCUCUUUCUCCAGUAAAGCCAAACAGUAUUACACAUGAUGAAGAUCGAUGUCACUUGCAACCUCAAGUCUGCAUUUGACAUUUAUGUGCUUCUGCAGUCCCUUGGCAGAAAUCACGGCUUCUUGACAUUUUUCUUUCAAGCUUGUUCCAUAACUUUUAGUGAUUGCUAACUUCUAGUUGAAAUGUUGGUGAAGGCUAAAUGUUUAUGCAUACACGAACAUGGCUCUAUUCGGUGCUAUAUUAUUCACAUGACUGUAGCUUUGUUAUCACUAUCCGCCAAGUUGGGAUAACUUUGUUAUCUCUCCGAAGGGAUGGACGAGACCUUCUUCCAAGCAAAGAGAGUUGGAGCUUUGAGGAAAAAAAUUAUGUAGGAUUUGACAAAAUGCAGUGUGCUUUUGCUUAGGCUCUUCCCUUGGAUUUUAUCCAUGCAAUAGAACGGGCUAAUUUUAUUAUUUGAUUCAAUCAAAGUCCCAGUUGUAACAUUAAUGUUAGAUGCUAGAAGACCCACAUCGAUUAAGAGCUGUGUAUCUCUAGUUUGAGGCUUAUAGAAAAGCGCAGCUUCGCACUGUUUUAACUCAUGGAGCCAUGCGUCGAGCACUUAGUGAACUAUUCUUUCGCCUUUUACUAAAGAAUAUCGUGUGCGCGGUGCUUUAAUUGGCAUUUGGAAGGGUGCACUGUCCCUCAAAUUUGAGUCAUGAAUAUUUUAGUCCUAUAAUGAUGAUUUGAUCCUGCGAUGAAAUUUUGUUUAACAAAGUUUUGUCCUUA
Long non-coding RNA from Argentina anserina (silverweed cinquefoil), 1011 nucleotides. RefSeq lists it as uncharacterized. The transcript has 2 exons. NCBI's taxonomy places the organism in Eukaryota, Viridiplantae, Streptophyta, Magnoliopsida, Rosales, Rosaceae. The record is from RefSeq and is a predicted model, not a curated record.